AACGAACACUGGCGGCAUGCCUAACACAUGCAAGUCGAACGAGAUCUUCGGGUCUAGUGGCGCACGGGUGCGUAACGCGUGGGAAUCUGCCCUUUGGUUCGGAAUAACAGUUGGAAACGACUGCUAAUACCGGAUGAUGACGAAAGUCCAAAGAUUUAUCGCCAGAGGAUGAGCCCGCGUAGGAUUAGCUAGUUGGUGUGGUAAAGGCGCACCAAAGCGACGAUCCUUAGCUGGUCUGAGAGGAUGAUCAGCCACACUGGGACUGAGACACGGCCCAGACUCCUACGGGAGGCAGCAGUGGGGAAUAUUGGACAAUGGGCGAAAGCCUGAUCCAGCAAUGCCGCGUGAGUGAUGAAGGCCUUAGGGUUGUAAAGCUCUUUUACCCGGGAUGAUAAUGACAGUACCGGGGGAAUAAGCUCCGGCUAACUCCGUGCCAGCCGCCGCGGUAA
RNAcentral lists this ribosomal RNA (449 nucleotides) under uncultured bacterium. RNAcentral's name for it is "partial 16S ribosomal RNA". It matches the Rfam family "Bacterial small subunit ribosomal RNA", at positions 29 to 523 of the family's 1533-position model. The record is from RNAcentral.